UGACACCUCCCUGAAACCACGAGCGUUUCAGGGGGCUGUUGAGCAAUCGCUUUCGCAGAGCGUGUCAGAAGCCGAUCCAGUAAGCGUCGACUUCGCGGACACGGUUGCCCCAGUCGAAUUCCUUGUCGGUUCCGAAGGACGGCGCUUUCGCCAGUUCCUCUUCGGUCAUCAAGGUCAGAAGUUCGUAGCCUUCGAUUGCGGGGUUGUACUUCAUGCUUGCCCAUGGAAGCGGGCGAUAGUCUUCGCCGACUC
RNAcentral lists this unclassified non-coding RNA (252 nucleotides) under Hevea brasiliensis (rubber tree). Lineage: Eukaryota; Viridiplantae; Streptophyta; Magnoliopsida; Malpighiales; Euphorbiaceae. The record is from RNAcentral.